UACCACCCAGCCCCGGGCCGGCCGCCCCUGCUCUUCUAUACUGCGUUCUCACCAACUCGGCUUAGACGUUUUUACUCUCUUCCAUUCCUUAUGCGCUGAAAUCCUUACUCUAGGGGAUACAAAGAUUAUCCCAACGCUUACUGUGGGCUUAACACAGUGCAAGUGCUGGCGGUGAAGUGAAGACCAGGACGGACAUGUUCCCUCACAGAGUCCGGCCGGUGGGCAAUUCAUAGACUAGGUGAUGGGAAGCUGGAUAUGGUGGACACGAAGAUGAUUAAAACACACCAAACCUGCUUUCAAAUGGCCUGUCUACAACCUGCUAGGGGAUAUACAUACACAGAGCCAACUUUAUUGCACGAUGUGUCAUAAUAACAUGGUUCCCCCUCUGGUAAUGUAUACAGGACAUUCCAGAUGGUACAUGGAUGCCAUGGGAAGAUAGAGAAACAGGAAAAUGACCCGUAGAAAUAAUGAAGAAGGCCAGAGCAAUUGGGAGCUCACCUGAGUGGACUCCAUAAAGAAAGGGUUGGUCCUGGCCCUCUCAGGAUGUAACUUACAGUGACUCAAUCAGAAGAAUAAAGAAAUGCUUUAUACCUCCUC
Molecule: long non-coding RNA, 597 nt
Organism: Lynx canadensis (Canada lynx)
Lineage: Eukaryota; Metazoa; Chordata; Mammalia; Carnivora; Felidae
Exons: 2
Source: RefSeq, a predicted model, not a curated record